AGCUCUAUAGCGCAGUGGCAGCGCGUCGGGUUUAUAACUCGGAGGUCCUCCGAUCGAAACGGAGUGGAGCUA
This is a non-coding RNA of Hypoxylon trugodes, 72 nucleotides long. The record is from the annotation of a RefSeq genome assembly. NCBI's taxonomy places the organism in Eukaryota, Fungi, Ascomycota, Sordariomycetes, Xylariales, Hypoxylaceae.